This 835-nucleotide ribosomal RNA is filed under the name Streptococcus macedonicus. RNAcentral's name for it is "bacterial SSU rRNA". It matches the Rfam family "Bacterial small subunit ribosomal RNA", at positions 77 to 900 of the family's 1533-position model. The record is from RNAcentral. Lineage: Bacteria; Bacillati; Bacillota; Bacilli; Lactobacillales; Streptococcaceae.
UUGCUAGAGUUGGAAGAGUUGCGAACGGGUGAGUAACGCGUAGGUAACCUGCCUAUUAGUGGGGGAUAACUAUUGGAAACGAUAGCUAAUACCGCAUAAUAGUGUUUAACACAUGUUAGAGACUUAAAAGAUGCAAUUGCAUCACUAGUAGAUGGACCUGCGUUGUAUUAGCUAGUUGGUGGGGUAACGGCCUACCAAGGCGACGAUACAUAGCCGACCUGAGAGGGUGAUCGGCCACACUGGGACUGAGACACGGCCCAGACUCCUACGGGAGGCAGCAGUAGGGAAUCUUCGGCAAUGGGGGCAACCCUGACCGAGCAACGCCGCGUGAGUGAAGAAGGUUUUCGGAUCGUAAAGCUCUGUUGUAAGAGAAGAACGUGUGUGAGAGUGGAAAGUUCACACAGUGACGGUAACUUACCAGAAAGGGACGGCUAACUACGUGCCAGCAGCCGCGGUAAUACGUAGGUCCCGAGCGUUGUCCGGAUUUAUUGGGCGUAAAGCGAGCGCAGGCGGUUUAAUAAGUCUGAAGUUAAAGGCAGUGGCUUAACCAUUGUUCGCUUUGGAAACUGUUAAACUUGAGUGCAGAAGGGGAGAGUGGAAUUCCAUGUGUAGCGGUGAAAUGCGUAGAUAUAUGGAGGAACACCGGUGGCGAAAGCGGCUCUCUGGUCUGUAACUGACGCUGAGGCUCGAAAGCGUGGGGAGCAAACAGGAUUAGAUACCCUGGUAGUCCACGCCGUAAACGAUGAGUGCUAGGUGUUAGGCCCUUUCCGGGGCUUAGUGCCGCAGCUAACGCAUUAAGCACUCCGCCUGGGGAGUACGACCGCAAGGUUGAAAC